Molecule: transfer RNA, 71 nt
Filed under: Fukomys damarensis (Damara mole-rat)
Lineage: Eukaryota; Metazoa; Chordata; Mammalia; Rodentia; Bathyergidae
Rfam family: tRNA
About the family: Transfer RNA (tRNA) molecules are approximately 80 nucleotides in length.
Source: Rfam by way of RNAcentral
GGGGGUGUAGCUCAGUGGUACAGCACUGGCCCAGCAGACACAGGACCUGGGUUCAAUCCUCAGCAACCCCC